RNAcentral lists this transfer RNA (77 nucleotides) under Actinomadura kijaniata. Its description in RNAcentral is "tRNA-Leu". It matches the Rfam family "tRNA". From Rfam's summary of the family: Transfer RNA (tRNA) molecules are approximately 80 nucleotides in length. Their secondary structure includes four short double-helical elements and three loops (D, anti-codon, and T loops). Further hydrogen bonds mediate the characteristic L-shaped molecular structure. tRNAs have two regions of fundamental functional importance: the anti-codon, which is responsible for specific mRNA codon recognition, and the 3' end, to which the tRNAs corresponding amino acid is attached (by aminoacyl-tRNA synthetases). tRNAs cope with the degeneracy of the genetic code in two manners: having more than one tRNA (with a specific anti-codon) for a particular amino acid; and 'wobble' base-pairing, i.e. permitting non-standard base-pairing at the 3rd anti-codon position. The record is from RNAcentral. Lineage: Bacteria; Bacillati; Actinomycetota; Actinomycetes; Streptosporangiales; Thermomonosporaceae.
GCGGCUCUACCCCAACGGUACGAGGGGCCAGUCUCAGACACUGGACGAUCUGGGUUCGAAUCCCAGGAGCCGCACCA